CCUACGGGAGGCAGCAGUGGGGAAUAUUGGGCAAUGGAGGCAACUCUGACCCAGCAACGCCGCGUGAAUGAUGAAGUUUUUCGGAUUGUAAAGUUCUGUGAUGGGGGAUGAACACAAUGACGGUACCCCAAUAGCAAGCCACGGCUAACUACGUGCCAGCAGCCGCGGUAAUACGUAGGUGGCAAGCGUUAUCCGGAAUUACUGGGCGUAAAGGGUGCGUAGGUGGUUUUGUAAGUCUGCGGUGAAAGUCCGGGGCGCAACCCCGGCGCUACCGCGGAAACUAUGAGACUAGAGUGCAGGAGGGGUAAGUGGAAUUCCUAGUGUAGCGGUGGAAUGCGUAGAUAUUAGGAGGAACAUCAGGGGCGAAGGCGACUUACUGGACUGUAACUGACGUUGAGGCACGAAAGCGUGGGGAGCAAACAGGAUUAGAUACCCGGGUAGUC
This 443-nucleotide ribosomal RNA is filed under the name uncultured bacterium. RNAcentral describes it as "partial 16S ribosomal RNA". It matches the Rfam family "Bacterial small subunit ribosomal RNA", at positions 338 to 795 of the family's 1533-position model. The record is from RNAcentral.